CUUCGGACCAGUUUUGUCAUGAUCUAAUCGACGAGCUUCUGUCCAAUGGUAUAAUGCCAUUUGUGGUUCUAUUUCAUUGGGAUCUUCCGCAAGCCUUGGAAAGCGAAUACAUGGGUUUCUAAGUACUCAAAUUGUGGGGGACUUUUGUGAUUACGCGAACCUCUGCUUCUGGGAGUAUGGUGGUAAGGUGAAAAAUUGGAUUACACUAAACGAGCCAGCUAUCUACUGUUAUUGCGGAUAUGUAGACGGUACACAUGCACCCGGUCGAGGUCCUGC
Rhododendron vialii is the source of this 276-nucleotide long non-coding RNA. RefSeq lists it as uncharacterized. The transcript is spliced from 3 exons. The record is from RefSeq and is a predicted model, not a curated record. Lineage: Eukaryota; Viridiplantae; Streptophyta; Magnoliopsida; Ericales; Ericaceae.